UACUUGUCGACUAUGGUUUGUGACCAGAU
RNAcentral lists this non-coding RNA (29 nucleotides) under Mus musculus (house mouse). Lineage: Eukaryota; Metazoa; Chordata; Mammalia; Rodentia; Muridae. The record is from RNAcentral.